UAGAUUGAGCUUGCUUUUCUUGGGCACGACCCUUGGUUCCUGUGUUGCCUUCCCAUCAUAUGGAAAAUUUCAUGAGAUAGCCCCGCCCCGCCACUUUCCUCCUUGUGGCUUUGCSGGCUACAAAGCGAACCUCGAAAGCAGUCCCCGUGUCCCCGACAUAUCCUCUGACUUUUGUUGUGGCUAUCUUGGUCCAUAGGAGAAUUGCUUGCACUCUCGGAUAUGGAAAAUUAAGCGGACAUGGGGGAUCUUGGCCUUCGGUUGCGCCAAUCAAGUCCCUCGAUAGGAAUGACUUUUGCUACCUCAUUGACUGCAGGCCCUCUAGGCCCRUGGCAUCAAUGCGGGUCCGAAGUCGAGAAAGAAUGCUACCUGGUUGA
RNAcentral lists this unclassified non-coding RNA (374 nucleotides) under Ficus pachyrrhachis. RNAcentral describes it as "partial contains external transcribed spacer and 18S ribosomal RNA". The record is from RNAcentral. Lineage: Eukaryota; Viridiplantae; Streptophyta; Magnoliopsida; Rosales; Moraceae.